UCAAACUGAGAAAAUAAGUUAAUUAGUUCCUCAUCUUGAAUGGCGACAAACAGAAUUUUAUCACUGAUCCCCUUGCAUGUAACAUACGUUUUUAUAAUCAUCCAACAACUGGGUUUUUUCCAGCAGUCACCUUAUUGUGGUGGAUUCAGGUAGAACAGGGAGCUGCCCACAUUUUUCAAACAAAGACAAUAAGACCUUCAAAUCUGCUCUGACCAGCUAAUUAGUCAUCUUUGCCUUUUGGGAUCAACCAGAACAAGAAUUAGUCUUUCAUGCUGAGACUUAGCUUUGACUUUUAAGUGUCUGCUGAAUUUUAAAGGAGGUUUCUUUCGCAAUUAAUGUUUAAGCCUUUAUUUGAGCAGCCUCGCUUUUACUCAGAUUUCUGCUUCACUUCAGCUUUUUCAGUAAAUUUGAAGCUGCUCUCUUUACAUUACAUUACAUUACAGAACAAACUUUUAUUCUUUACAAAUAAUUUUAGUAUAUGCUUGUGCAGUUUCUAAUAAGAGAAUGGUGUACUUAUGUUCACGACCAUCUCUAUGGCAACAUCCAAGCCGGCAACUUGGCUCAUUAUUUUUGAGCUGAAACUUAUGUUUUGCAAAAAGGCACAGGCAUUCUACAUUUCGCCUGCUUCCCUCAUCUGACUCGUGUGGUUCAGACCGAGGAGUGGACGCUUCACUGACACAGCUGGCUGGAUUUUGAGGCCCAGUUCUUCUGGUAACAGUGGAAUGAGGAGUGAAGUGAGCUUUGGGACAAACAUGAGUCACCACAAAACACCUCACUCAGUUCUCUUUCCUCUUUGCCACUUUCCACCCUCCGUUCCUCCUUUUUUUUUUUUUUUUCUUUACCGAUGUAUUUUCUGAAGAGCAACCUGGAUAGAGAAAUUAACGCCUCGUCUCGUCUUUUCAGUGGUUUUACUGUGUUGUAUUUAUUAUGGCCCAAGAAAAAAACAUUUCGACACUAAUUAAUCAACCAGUGCACUGAUGAUGUGAAAGUGACACAGAAGUGAGCAUUAAUUUCAAUAGAAACAUCUUUUUUCAGGUUUUGCUAAGUUUUUAAUGUUUUACUCUAACACAAAAAUGGUUCCUCUACAUGUCGUCAGCCUUUGCAGGAAUCGGCAGCCAAUGAUUCAUUUAUUUGAUUGAUGGUAUUUUUGAACCAAGAAAACAAGCAAACAGAACCUCUUAUGGUUUUCUUACAACAAUCAAGGGCACAGCAAAUAGUCAAAUGAAUUUCGCACUAGGGUGGCGCAACAGGAAGGGUUCAAAGCUUGGGAUAUUUUUGUUUAUAACGCUGCUUUAAACUCCACAACCAUAUGUGUUUUGGAGUUCAUGGUGGUGUUUGCCACACACAGUACAUGAUGAUGCUGACGAGGACACAGAACAGGGCGGAAUAUUGCAACAUUAUGAACCAGAAAGCUUAAUUCAGGUACAAUAUUCCAUUUUCAUCCAGCAAACAUUGUAUCUGUAACGUAGCAUUGUAAUUUAGACAGACGCUGGAAGCUUUGGUUCCCUAAUUCAGCUACAGAUACUGAAUUGAAUUUUACUUCUUGCAACUUAAUUGAAAGCAGUUGUGUUGUUUAUUAAUUAGCAAUGUAUUUUAAUCUGAACUGGUAUAACAUAUGAACAAAAUAAUAAAAUGUAACACCUUAAAAUCGACACACUUUUAGAAAAAUGUGGAACCGUAAGCAGAUAAGGAGCACCUUUGGAUCCCAGACAUCAGUCAAUAAUUUGAAUUAUAUCCCAUGAAAACUAUUAGCAUUUAAAGCACCAGUUUUACUCAGUUAUCAGACAUCUAAAGAGACAAAACAAUAGAGUAUUGAGCAUUAGUGAGUUGUUAUAGCUUUCUAUGCAGCAUUAAAUGUCACACCAACAUUAACUUUCAUAAUUUCCCAGGUUCUAUA
Molecule: long non-coding RNA, 1897 nt
Organism: Poecilia latipinna (sailfin molly)
Lineage: Eukaryota; Metazoa; Chordata; Actinopteri; Cyprinodontiformes; Poeciliidae
Exons: 2
Source: RefSeq, a predicted model, not a curated record